This 85-nucleotide transfer RNA is filed under the name Minisyncoccales bacterium. RNAcentral describes it as "tRNA-Leu". It matches the Rfam family "tRNA". From Rfam's summary of the family: Transfer RNA (tRNA) molecules are approximately 80 nucleotides in length. Their secondary structure includes four short double-helical elements and three loops (D, anti-codon, and T loops). The record is from RNAcentral. Lineage: Bacteria; Bacillati; Minisyncoccota; Minisyncoccia; Minisyncoccales.
GCGGACGUGGCGGAAUUAGAAUACGCGCAGGUCUGAGGAACCUGGCCCAAUUUUGGGCGUGUGGGUGCAAGUCCCACCGUCCGCA